UGGGGAAUAUUGCACAAUGGGCGAAAGCCUGAUGCAGCGACGCCGCGUGAGGGAUGACGGCCUUCGGGUUGUAAACCUCUUUCAGCAGGGAAGAAGCGCAAGUGACGGUACCUGCAGAAGAAGCACCGGCUAACUACGUGCCAGCAGCCGCGGUAAUACGUAGGGUGCGAGCGUUGUCCGGAAUUAUUGGGCGUAAAGAGCUCGUAGGCGGCUUGUCGCGUCGGAUGUGAAAGCCCGGGGCUUAACUCCGGGUCUGCAUUCGAUACGGGCAGGCUAGAGUUCGGUAGGGGAGAUCGGAAUUCCUGGUGUAGCGGUGAAAUGCGCAGAUAUCAGGAGGAACACCGGUGGCGAAGGCGGAUCUCUGGGCCGAUACUGACGCUGAGGAGCGAAAGCGUGGGGAGCGAACAGGAUUAGAUACCCUGGUAGU
RNAcentral lists this ribosomal RNA (427 nucleotides) under uncultured Streptomyces sp. RNAcentral's name for it is "bacterial SSU rRNA". It matches the Rfam family "Bacterial small subunit ribosomal RNA", at positions 355 to 794 of the family's 1533-position model. Lineage: Bacteria; Bacillati; Actinomycetota; Actinomycetes; Kitasatosporales; Streptomycetaceae. The record is from RNAcentral.